RNAcentral lists this ribosomal RNA (253 nucleotides) under uncultured bacterium. Its description in RNAcentral is "partial 16S ribosomal RNA". It matches the Rfam family "Bacterial small subunit ribosomal RNA", at positions 524 to 776 of the family's 1533-position model. The record is from RNAcentral.
UACAUGGGGUGCAAACGUUGCUCGGAAUUAUUGGGCGUAAAGAGCGCGCAGGCGGUCGUUCAAGUCGCGUGGGAAAGCCCCCGGCUCAACUGGGGAGGGUCACGCGAUACUGAUCGACUCGAAGGCAGGAGAGGGUAGUGGAAUUCCCGGUGUAGUGGUGAAAUGCGUAGAUAUCGGGAGGAACACCAGUGGCGAAGGCGACUACCUGGCCUGUUCUUGACGCUGAGGCGCGAAAGCUAGGGGAGCAAACGGG